Molecule: ribosomal RNA, 424 nt
Filed under: uncultured bacterium
Lineage: Bacteria
Description: partial 16S ribosomal RNA
Rfam family: Bacterial small subunit ribosomal RNA
Source: RNAcentral
AAGUUUGGACAAUGGGGGAAACCCUGAUCCAGCCAUCCCGCGUGUAUGAUGAAGGCCGUCGGGUUGUAAAGUACCUUUGGCAGAGAGGAAAAGGUAUCCCCUAUUACUGGAUACUGCUGGCGGUAGCUGCAGAAUAAGCACCGGCUGCCUACCUGCCUGCAGCCACGGUAAAACGUAGGGUGCCAGCGUUAAACGGAAUUACUUGGCGUAAAGCGUGUGUAGGCGGUUCGGAAAGAAAGAUAUGAAAUCCCAGGGCUCAAACUUGGAACAGCAUUUUUAACUGCCGAGCUAGAGUAUGUCAGAGGGGGGUAGAAUUCCACGUGUAGCAGUGAAAUGCGUAGAUAUGUGGAGGAAUACCGAUGGCGAAGGCAGCCCCCUGGGAUAAUACUGACGCUCAGACACGAAAGCGUAGGGAGCAAAAAGG